RNAcentral lists this long non-coding RNA (517 nucleotides) under Homo sapiens (human). Its description in RNAcentral is "HSALNT0224160". Lineage: Eukaryota; Metazoa; Chordata; Mammalia; Primates; Hominidae. The record is from RNAcentral.
UCUGGUAAAUAGCAACUCACAUUUAUAUUUUACUUUCAUCUGAGGCCUCACCUCAUUUCACACUCUCUUUUUCAAGAGGAAUUAGGAAUUACGUAACUCUGAAAGCAAAAAAUCUCAAAAUUAUGACAGGUGGUACAGAUAUUUAUUUUCUCAGAGCAGAGUUUGGGCCUAGGCCACGGCUGCCCCUGUAGCUCCCCUCUUGUAAGAGAUGCAAAGCUUACUUCUGGGGCACACCCAUCUCCAGCUGGAGGUGCAAGCAAAGGCCACUGUGUAAGGAGGCAAAACUCUCCCUUACUGCCUGAAGGAUCUCCAACAAGCAUAUUCUGGAGAGCUCUGACAGGGAGCAUUUUACAAGGUCCCACUGGAGCUGAGGCUUGAGGUCAGGUCCAAGUGCAGGCCUCCUUCCCAUCACAGCUUCCGAGCCUUCCUGGGGCGGCAGCCGUUGUGUGGGAUUGGGGUGUUGUCUGUGAUUGAGAUCACUUCCAGGCCGCCCAUGAUCAGUCCGUGCAUGGCAGAC